RNAcentral lists this ribosomal RNA (253 nucleotides) under uncultured bacterium. RNAcentral's name for it is "partial 16S ribosomal RNA". It matches the Rfam family "Bacterial small subunit ribosomal RNA", at positions 524 to 776 of the family's 1533-position model. The record is from RNAcentral.
UACGGAGGGAGCAAGCGUUACUCGGAAUUACUGGGCGUAAAGGGCGCGUAGGCGAUUUUGUAAGUCUUGUGUGAAAGCCCAAAGCCUAACUUUGGAAGUGCACAAGAUACUGCGAGAAUUGAGUUCCGGAGAGGAAGAUGGAAUUCCUGGUGUAGCGGUGGAAUGCGCAGAUAUCAGGAGGAACACCGGUGGCGAAGGCGGGUCUCUGGGCAGUAACUGACGCUGAGGAGCGAAAGCGUGGGGAGCGAACAGG